UACGUAGGGACCGAGCGUUGUCCGGAAUCAUUGGGCGUAAAGAGCGUGUAGGCGGCCUUUUAAGUCCUGCGUGAAAUCCUGCGGCUCAACCGCAGACGGUCGUGGGAAACUGGAAGGCUAGAGUGCGGGAGAGGAGAGUGGAAUUCCCGGUGUAGCGGUGAAAUGCGCAGAUAUCGGGAAGAACACCCGUGGCGAAGACGGCUCUCUGGAACGCAACUGACGCUGAGACGCGAAAGCGUGGGGAGCGAACAGG
This 253-nucleotide ribosomal RNA is filed under the name uncultured bacterium. RNAcentral's name for it is "partial 16S ribosomal RNA". It matches the Rfam family "Bacterial small subunit ribosomal RNA", at positions 524 to 776 of the family's 1533-position model. The record is from RNAcentral.